RNAcentral lists this ribosomal RNA (440 nucleotides) under uncultured bacterium. Its description in RNAcentral is "bacterial SSU rRNA". It matches the Rfam family "Bacterial small subunit ribosomal RNA", at positions 338 to 795 of the family's 1533-position model. The record is from RNAcentral.
CCUACGGGGGGCUGCAGUGGGGAAUAUUGCACAAUGGGGGAAACCCUGAUGCAGCAACGCCGCGUGAGCGAUGAAGGCCUUCGGGUCGUAAAGCUCUGUCCUAAGGGAAGAAUACUGACGGUACCUUAGGAGGAAGCCCCGGCUAACUACGUGCCAGCAGCCGCGGUAAUACGUAGGGGGCGAGCGUUAUCCGGAAUCAUUGGGCGUAAAGGGUGCGUAGGCGGUUAUGCAAGUUAGGGGUGAAAGGCUACGGCUCAACCGUAGUAAGCCUUUAAAACUGCAUAACUUGAGUGCAGGAGAGGAGAGUGGAAUUCCUAGUGUAGCGGUGAAAUGCGUAGAUAUUAGGAGGAACACCAGUGGCGAAGGCGACUCUCUGGACUGUAACUGACGCUGAGGCACGAAAGCGUGGGGAGCGAACAGGAUUAGAUACCCGUGUAGUC